ACUUGAGAAACUCAUGUGUGCAAUCGAGUCGCGUGUUCAACUUCACCUCCCCAUGGGACUAACCGACGGGAGGUCCUUACUCAAAUUUACGCCUUGUUGGGAGAGAAAAAGAAGCACGCGGGGAAUGUGUAU
Non-coding RNA from Caenorhabditis elegans, 132 nucleotides. The record is from Ensembl. Lineage: Eukaryota; Metazoa; Nematoda; Chromadorea; Rhabditida; Rhabditidae.